GACGAACGCUGGCGGCAAGCCUAACACAUGCAAGUCGAACGGUAACAGGAAACAGCUUGCUGUUUCGCUGACGAGUGGCGGACGGGUGAGUAAUGUCUGGGAAACUGCCUGAUGGAGGGGGAUAACUACUGGAAACGGUAGCUAAUACCGCAUAACGUCGCAAGACCAAAGAGGGGGACCUUCGGGCCUCUUGCCAUCGGAUGUGCCCAGAUGGGAUUAGCUAGUAGGUGGGGUAACGGCUCACCUAGGCGACGAUCCCUAGCUGGUCGGAGAGGAUGACCAGCCACACUGGAACUGAGACACGGUCCAGACUCCUACGGGAGGCAGCAGUGGGGAAUAUUGCACAAUGGGCGCAAGCCUGAUGCAGCCAUGCCGCGUGUAUGAAGAAGGCCUUCGGGUUGUAAAGUACUUUCAGCGGGGAGGAAGGGAGUAAAGUUAAUACCUUUGCUCACUGACGUUACCCGCAGAAGAAGCACCGGCUAACUCCGUGCCAGCCGCCGCCGUAA
RNAcentral lists this ribosomal RNA (506 nucleotides) under uncultured bacterium. RNAcentral's name for it is "partial 16S ribosomal RNA". It matches the Rfam family "Bacterial small subunit ribosomal RNA", at positions 28 to 523 of the family's 1533-position model. The record is from RNAcentral.